RNAcentral lists this ribosomal RNA (57 nucleotides) under uncultured bacterium. RNAcentral's name for it is "partial 16S ribosomal RNA". The record is from RNAcentral.
CGGUGNGCUAACCCGCAAGGGAGGCAGCCGACCACGGUCGGUUCAGCGACUGGGGUG